This 511-nucleotide ribosomal RNA is filed under the name Falklandius antarcticus. RNAcentral's name for it is "partial 16S ribosomal RNA". It matches the Rfam family "Bacterial large subunit ribosomal RNA", at positions 1819 to 2600 of the family's 2925-position model. Lineage: Eukaryota; Metazoa; Arthropoda; Insecta; Coleoptera; Curculionidae. The record is from RNAcentral.
GGCCUUUUGUUUAUGAUUUAAGGUCUGGCCUGCCCAAUGAAAUUUUGAAUGGCCGCGGUAUUUUAACCGUGCAAAGGUAGCAUAAUCAUUAGUUUUUUAAUUAAAAGCUGGUAUGAAUGGUUGGAUGAAAAAGUGACUGUCUCUAUCUAAGUUUUUUAGAAUUUUAUUUUUAAGUAAAAAAGCUUAAAUUAUAUUAGAAGACGAGAAGACCCUAUAGAGUUUAAUUAAUUUUUGUUAUAAAGUUUUUAGUAUUUUUAAUUUUAUUAUAGUUGAUUAAUUUGAUUGGGGUGAUUUAAAAAUUUAAUAAACUUUUUUUGUAUUUAUACAUUAAUUUAUGAUUACUUGAUCCUUAAUUUAAGAUUAAUAGAUAAAAUUACCUUAGGGAUAACAGCGUUAUUUUUUUAGAGAGUUCUAAUCGAAAAAAAAGAUUGCGACCUCGAUGUUGGAUUAAAAAAAAAUUUUGGUGUAGAAGCUAAAAUAUUUAGGUCUGUUCGACCUUUAAAAUUUUACA